CUUCACCCCCAACAAAACCACCAAAAGCUUUCAUUAGUAAGAACCCUCCUGCCUGGAAGGUAGCAGAGUUGAUCUGAAGUGGAUUUCAUGCGAGGUGGCUGUACUUUGCCCUUUUCCUGCUGUGCACGGUUUCAGGGUCAUGAGAUGCAGCGAAGUCUCAGUGUUUUCCGCCAUUGACUGUCCCUGCAAUUAGCCAUUAUGCUACUGUGUGUGAAAUACUUUACACCCGUGUUCUGCUACACUUAAGAAUUGUCUUAGCCCWUGCAAAAUACCUGUGCAAGUGCAAAUGGUCUGUGGAAGAUAAGAGCAAAUGACUCCUGGCCACCAGGAUCAGAACAAGGCUAAUGGCAGUCAAACAGAAACAAGGCUGAUACUAACUUAAGUGAAACACUCUUCACUACAGGGUAGUGAAGGAGGAUUUGUGUGUGCCCCUUGUCCAUCAGUGACUGUGUCAAGAUGAGCGUCAUUUUUACCCCAAUGAAGGAAGGACUAAGCUGUUCAACUGACGGAAAAUCAGGCUGAGCAGUGGCUGGCAUCACUCCAGCGCUGGUUCAAAGUGAACUCCAUUCAGGCUGUUUCACACUCUCUUUUUAUUAAGAGAGCUCAAUUUGCUGUGCUUAAAUCAUGGGACCCAAACCAGGAAAGAAAACAGAGGUUAUUUGAAGUCUGAACAUAACCAAAGUAAUUGGAAAGCACCCCUCUAAGCAAGGAAGACCAGGUGAGUGUCUCUGCUCAGCCUCGUGUAAUUUAGUCAUCUGUGCUGGCUGCCAAAAAGUGGAUUUCAUCACCUCCUUGUUAGGAAAACGCAUCUUCUCUGCGCAGCAUGUAAGACCGCCUUUGAGCUGCUACACAGAGGAACGGUCCCCUAGGGGAAGUCAUCCUGGUCAGCAGCACAGAAGGGCAGGCACAGACACAGAGCAGCGUGUAACAGCUGCAUGCAACUGCGCUCGCAGCACUGUGCGCUUUGAGCUGGACUUGGGAGUGAAGCCUGCCUGGAAGUUGUGGUGGUCAUCCUGGCCUCUGGAAGCCGCUCCAGCUCUGCACAUCCAGAGUUUGAGGUCAUGGAGCAGAUGAAGCCUAGAAGGUGCUAUUGCGUUCACGAGCGAUGUACUUUUCUUGCAACUGGUCAAUAAAUGCAGU
This 1140-nucleotide long non-coding RNA is filed under the name Apteryx owenii (little spotted kiwi). Its description in RNAcentral is "lncRNA (ENSAOWG00000000332.1)". The record is from RNAcentral. Lineage: Eukaryota; Metazoa; Chordata; Aves; Apterygiformes; Apterygidae.